This 490-nucleotide ribosomal RNA is filed under the name uncultured bacterium. RNAcentral describes it as "partial 16S ribosomal RNA". It matches the Rfam family "Bacterial small subunit ribosomal RNA", at positions 28 to 507 of the family's 1533-position model. The record is from RNAcentral.
GAUGAACGCUAGCGAUAGGCUUAACACAUGCAAGUCGAGGGGCAGCAUGGUCUUAGCUUGCUAAGGCUGAUGGCGACCGGCGCACGGGUGCGUAACGCGUAUGCAACUUGCCUCACAGAGGGGGAUAACCCGUCGAAAGACGGACUAAUACCGCGUACACUCUAUGUUGGGCAUCCAAUGUAGAGGAAAUGAAAUUCGCUGUGAGAUAGGCAUGCGUCCCAUUAGCUAGUUGGUGAGGUAACGGCUCACCAAGGCGACGAUGGGUAGGGGAACUGAGAGGUUGAACCCCCACCCUGGUACUGAGACACGGACCAGACUCCUACGGGAGGCAGCAGUGAGGAAUAUUGGUCAAUGGGCGAGAGCCUGAACCAGCCAAGUCGCGUGAAGGAUGACUGUCUUAUGGAUUGUAAACUUCUUUUAUACGGGAAUAACAAGAGUCACGUGUGGCUCCCUGCAUGUACCGUAUGAAUAAGCAUCGGCUAACUCCGUG